This is a long non-coding RNA of Nymphalis io (European peacock), 428 nucleotides long. RefSeq lists it as uncharacterized. Lineage: Eukaryota; Metazoa; Arthropoda; Insecta; Lepidoptera; Nymphalidae. The transcript is spliced from 3 exons. The record is from RefSeq and is a predicted model, not a curated record.
CAAAAUUUAUAUUUAAGUAUGGAUGGAUCACAUGUGCCAAUAGCAGAAGACUUAGUCCUAAGUACGGAAAUAAGGGCACACCAGAAGAAAGAUUUGUCAAUUGUAUCGUUCUUAAGAUCAUGUUGUGUACUUCCUCAACGUUACGUAUUCGCGAUUGUUGGACUUAUCGGUUUGUGUAAUGCAUUCACUAUGCGCGUUACUUUGAACAUGGCCAUUACACAAAUGGUCAAACAAAGACAUUUUGGAAAAGAUCAUUCAGACCCUGACACAAGCCCAAGCGAUAAGAUACUUGCUAACAUAACUUCUGUUAUAAACCCACAUGCUAUGUUCGAGUGGGACGAGGAAACACAGGGUCUCUUUUUAAGUGGUUUUUAUUACGGUUAUUCUUCAACACAAAUAUUAGGAGGAUAUUCGGAAAUAUAUUCGGU